Molecule: long non-coding RNA, 310 nt
Filed under: Haliotis rubra (blacklip abalone)
Lineage: Eukaryota; Metazoa; Mollusca; Gastropoda; Lepetellida; Haliotidae
Description: uncharacterized LOC124273582, transcript variant X1
Source: RNAcentral
AGAUUUGGCAAAGAAAAGAAAACCUGGGAAUGCAUUGUCACUGUAAAUGGAAAAACGUGACACAAAGCGGACCUGUCUUCUUUCUGGUUGGUUCAUCUUUGAUAUGGCCGUACUGGUUGGAGUACUCGUUAUUGAAAUUGGGAGCCAGAAACAGAGCGGAACAGGAUCAGAAUGGAAGUUAUCACUGGAUAAGGUGUACCAAAACUUGGUGAUGAAUGGUGUUUCGACCACAGAGCAUUCAGAACAAUCCUAUCAAGCAUAUGAUAAUGAUACUGGGAACGACCAUCCAGAUCAGCAGUUUCUCAAUCUG